This is a long non-coding RNA of Mustela erminea (ermine), 4059 nucleotides long. RefSeq lists it as uncharacterized. The transcript is spliced from 7 exons. The record is from RefSeq and is a predicted model, not a curated record. Lineage: Eukaryota; Metazoa; Chordata; Mammalia; Carnivora; Mustelidae.
CAAGAGUCGGAUGCUUAACCAACUGAGCCACCCAGACGCUAUGCCUGUGGUGAGCAGGGUCUGCCUCAUUGACGUCAUUUAACCCUUUGCCUGGUGCAAAGUGCUUGAGCAAUAAAUAUAGAAGAAAUAAAGAAAAUAAGGAGGAUGCAUCAUUCCUCAGGCCACUCUUGGAAAUGUCAAUAGUCAGAGCCAGAAUUUUGAAUGGAAGCUUUGGAAGAGAUGAAAAUCUAUUUGGAAUGGACCCUGAUGUGGGGAUGCUGAUUUGUACGCUGACCUCCAGGCUGUAAAGAUACCUGAUAACGCAGCCAAGACUUGGCUCAGAAAGUGAUUCAGCGAUUUGCCUGAGACUGACCCAGUUUUAGCACAAAAAGUCUGGAGUCCUGAGAAAUGCCUCAGUCCCAGUCAAUUCGGAGCAACUGGUCGCCCAAGACAGCAAGUAAGGAGAUACUCGGGCACUCAGGCAAGCAGCAAAUCUCAGGCAAAUUCUGCAUCGUAAACCAAAGAAUUUUCUGUCAUCUGUUCCCUUCCCCUGUUCUACGAAGUCAGCGACAUUGGUUCACUUUAAUGAACGAGGCUGUUCUUAAAUGGAUCACCAUAGGAAAAAUGAGUCUGUUCUGCAAGCACCGAUUAACAGAGAAGUGACCGUUGCCUCUUGGCGAGUUACCCACACCCCUCCAUCACCAGCCUGCCAGCUCCCAUGCUGCCCAGCAGUUACAUAACCCUAAUUCCACCAAGUUCCUCUGAUGUUCAAGAUUAGGUUAACUUGGUUUCCCCUAAGCCAGAGGCCCAAUGUCACUGUUAACCAGGACACUGGAACAAAGGACACAAUGAUUACAGUCCCCUCCUCCUGCCAAUUGACAAGAACUACCCAACUAGAACCACAAAGAGAGAAAGAGAGAGUGUGUGUGUGUGUGCAUAGGAAAAUCUGACCUAAUGGCAAAGGAAUGCAUCCCCCUCCUCCAAGCACACACAAAUGUGUAUCUAGUUAUCAAAGAACUGUCCAGAAGGGUUAGAAGGCUCUGGUGUGCGGAGCCCACUGACCUGUCACUCACCAGCCCCGAAGGUUCAGAUAGGAACUCAAAGGACAUAGGAGUGGAAACGAUAGUGGGAUUUUGGUUUUGUUUUUUUUUUAAGAGUGAGAUACUGGAAGCUGGCUCCCGUUCCGUGGCGACGGGCCUUCCUUUAAAUAUAACCAGCAGAGAGAGCUGAGAAUGACUGCCAUGCUUGAAUGCCAAAUAAACACAAAAUGACAAGCACAGAUUUUUGGCUUUAUAUUAAAGCUUGCUUUUUCAACAACCCCUUUUGUUGCCUCUAAAGACAAUGGUCACAGUGUUUCUGCGCCAGAUCCUGGACCUCUGAGCAUAGGCUCCCUCGCCGCACCCAACCCCAGUUCCCUCCACAAGCACGGCUGAACCACAGUUGAUAUAAGUGGAUGGAACCGGUGGCCUUUCCGCUCUCCUUCUCACCUAACAGUUAAAACAGUCCUCAAAUUCUCUUACAGGAACGAGUAAAUAUUUCAGAUGUUUACACAGCCAGGACUUUCUGAAUGAAGGGAAACAGCAAGCUCCAAACCACAGCCAUAAGGAUUCCUCAGGUUUAAUCUGUUCAAAGGCCUGGGCCGUAACCUUCCUCCACCCGUUUCCUGGGGCUUCUUCAACAGCAGCAAGCAUGCCUUUGAUCGGAAUUUCAGUUCGGCUACCAGCUGGAUGCACAUUCCCAACGCCUCAGUGCUUUGCUUUCCAGCUGCCCACAGUGAUCCCACCGCCCAGGGAAGGAAGCAAGGACAUCAGAGCAAACCCUGGCCCCUUUCACAGCAGAGAGAAUGCUUUUUGGAGUCUCAUACUGGAACCCUGAAAGAUCUCCCCAUACGGAGAUAUAUCUACACAACACACACACACACACACACACACACACACACACACACACACUAAAAGUAAUUUAAGACUAGAAAGGUUUAAAGAGAAUUAGGAACUCUAAGAAAUUAUUUUAAGGAACUAUCAUUCAAAAAAAAUAAUAAGCAAGAGCAAAUUUUGGUAAUUAAGUAGUGGCUUAGAUCUGGGUCCUACUCUGUUUAUAUCGAUUUUUCCUUCUGAGUGUAGCGGGGGGCACAGGGGCGCAGACAGACCAGGCUGGGCCGGCUCCCCGCUGACAGAAUCCAAAGGCAGAGAGGCGAGUGUGGUGAGACAAGAAAGGAACUAGUUUCAGGGGAGCUGACACGGGAAAACAGCGGCUAGUGUCUGAAAGACUUAACUGGAAGGGUCCAAAAAUGCUUCCAGGUCUAUAUAAGGAAGGGGGGUGGGGGGGCAAAGGUGGGUGGGUCCGCACAGGUGGGCAGUGAAGGUCAGAUUCAUCAAGGCCUUAGACUCCAGCAUGGGGAGGGUCUUGCUGGCUCAGGGCAGCCCUUACCGCUGAGGGGGCAGUCUCCGUGCCCACCAGGCAAUGCUUUGCUCUUAGGGUCUUCCUCCUGAGCCAAGAGACAAGUUGCAAAGAAGAACCCAACUAGAAAGUUUGGGGUCAAAAUGGAGGCAACCCUCUUUCAUGAGCACUUGACUCCACACAGUUAACUUCAGUGCCCAUCUUUGAUCUCUGCUUCAUUCUGACUCUUUUCAGGUUUGGGGACCUCAGCUUGCCUAGACCCUCUCUGAUGUGGGAACUUCUGUUCCAACAAACUCCCCAUACUCCAUGCUUCCAUUUCUAACCUCAGAGACACACCCCCCGCACACCCAAGACCCAAGAGGCUCUGCCUCAGUCUCCCCCAUCCCUCGGGGAGGGAGGAGUGGCUUAUAGACUGCCCAUUGCCCGUGACCUCUCUUCAUGCAAAGGGAAAACUGCCUCAUACAAUGAAGAGAAGAGGCAGCAUUGCACUUAAAAGAAGCCAUAACCGCAGAGGAAUGAGGCAUGGAGGAGAAACUACUAGCAUGUGUCUCUAUAGGACUGGGCAGGACAUUUCUCGAAGUUGCCCCAGGACACCACAUUUACUCUUCUGCUGCACUCUGUGCACCAACCCACUCCCUCUUCUGUUAGGAUGUCCCCCAAGUCACCAAAUCUACCACAGAAAACCCAUGACAAGUUAGUUCGAGUUGAAAGGAAAAUCUCCAACUUCUUUUCCUGGUACCCAGUUCAAGACAGCAACGGUUCUCUGCUGGGUGCAAGCGAGAGCAGGAAACUGCUGUUCCGGACAGAGACUAGUGAACGGGGAAACUGUUUUUCAAAAUGACGAGUCACUCGUGGAAGUUUUUGGUAUCAUUCCUCCAAAGACUGGCAAUUGUUUCAGAAGAAAACAUCAGAAAUAGUACUAACCCCAAACCUGGUAACAAGAAAUUCUUGAUCAUUAUCCAUGAAUGAGGAUCAUCACCCCUUGGAUAAUGGUAUUGAAUACUUUUGUUAGAAUGGGGAUUUUCCCCCUUUUUUAUAGAAAAGACUAAUUAUACUUUAGUCUAGAAUGAUUCUCUCCUUACCGUGCUGUUCUCUUCUUAGAGCAAAACACAUGAGUGUGCUGUUACGGCAGGAGAACUUUGACCUGGGAAGGGUAUUUAGGCAUUCUCCCAGACAAGCUGUUGACUUCCACAAAAAAUUGGCAAAGGACAGAGCCAUCUGGGAUAAAAUGUUAUGCACAUUGUUGGUGGCUUACUCUUAGGAGUGCAUUUCAGUUUCAGACCACAAAAACCAUGACAUUAAGCAGCUAAUAGAGGCUAUUUUGUCUUACAUCACAGAUGGAGAAGGAUCCCAGGAUGGGUCCCUUUGUUUCAUCUAUUUCAAAAAUCUGAAACAUUAUUUUUCAGAUGAGCAUUUGGUGCAACUAUCCACUUCCCCAGUUUUAGAGUUUCCUAUACAGAGCAUCCUCUGUCCCUACAUCCCGGGGUACCCCGGGCAGUGGAGACUGUCAGCAGACUUAACAAGGGGUUAUCUAGGUUCUGGUGAUGACGUCACCACAACUUACUAUGGGAGGUUCUACAAGACACUUAAUAUUCCCAGAUCCAUUCGUUAAGAUAAGACUAGCUGUAGAACAAACACCAAAACUUCACUGUUAAUAAAAUAUUGCUACUUGCUCGUCACAGU